Molecule: ribosomal RNA, 253 nt
Filed under: uncultured bacterium
Lineage: Bacteria
Description: partial 16S ribosomal RNA
Rfam family: Bacterial small subunit ribosomal RNA
Source: RNAcentral
UACAGAGGGUGCAAGCGUUGUCCGGAAUUAUUGGGCGUAAAGAGCGUGUAGGCGGCCCGACAAGUCCGCUGUGAAAGUCCAGGGCUCAACCCUGGAAUGCCGGUGGAUACUGUCGGGCUAGAGUCCGGAAGGGGCGAGUGGAAUUCCUGGUGUAGCGGUGAAAUGCGCAGAUAUCAGGAGGAACACCAAUGGCGAAGGCAGCUCGCUGGGACGUGACUGACGCUGAGACGCGAAAGCGUGGGGAGCAAACAGG